Molecule: ribosomal RNA, 253 nt
Filed under: uncultured bacterium
Lineage: Bacteria
Description: partial 16S ribosomal RNA
Rfam family: Bacterial small subunit ribosomal RNA
Source: RNAcentral
UACGUAGGAUGCAAGCGUUGUCCGGAUUUAUUGGGUUUAAAGGGUGCGUAGGCGGCGUAUAAAGUUGGUGGUGAAAACGUUGGGCUUAACCGUAUACCCGCCAUUGAUACUGAUAGACUUGAGUGCGGGAGAGGGCGUUGGAAUGUGUGGUGUAGCGGUGAAAUGCUUAGAUAUCACGCAGAACACCAAUUGCGAAGGCAGAUGUCUAUGUCGUAACUGGCGCUGAGGCACGAAAGCGUGGGGAGCAAACAGG